RNAcentral lists this non-coding RNA (47 nucleotides) under Carnobacterium sp. RNAcentral describes it as "Na+-I sequence". It matches the Rfam family "Na+ riboswitch aptamer (DUF1646)". From Rfam's summary of the family: Proteobacteria, NC10, Acidobacteria, Verrucomicrobia. Lineage (Clostridia) The riboswitch of Na+ was first reported in a comparative analysis of intergenic regions and called DUF1646 RNA, it was also suggested that it acts as cis-reg RNA present upstream of Na+ genes. The record is from RNAcentral. Lineage: Bacteria; Bacillati; Bacillota; Bacilli; Lactobacillales; Carnobacteriaceae.
GGUUGGGCAGUAGCUUUCAAGGCAAUUUCUUCAAGGGGUGAGAAGAA